AUUGAACGCUGGCGGAAUGCUUUACACAUGCAAGUCGGGCGGCAGCGCGGGGGCAACCCUGGCGGCGAGCGGCGAACGGGUGAGUAACACAUCGGAACGUACCCUGUCGUGGGGGAUAACGAAUCGAAAGAUUCGCUAAUACCGCAUACGACCUGAGGGUGAAAGCGGGGGAUCGCAAGACCUCGCGCGAGAGGAGCGGCCGAUGGCGGAUUAGCUAGUUGGUGGGGUAAAGCCCACAAGGCGACGAUCCGUAGCGGGUCUGAGAGGACGGCCCGCCACACUGGGACUGAGACACGGCCCAGACUCCUACGGGAGGCAGCAGUGGGGAAUUUUGGGACAAUGGGGGCAACCCUGAUCCAGCCAUUCCGCGUGAGUGAAGAAGGCCUCGGUUGUAAGACUCUUUCGGUCAGGAACGAAACGG
This 421-nucleotide ribosomal RNA is filed under the name uncultured bacterium. Its description in RNAcentral is "bacterial SSU rRNA". It matches the Rfam family "Bacterial small subunit ribosomal RNA", at positions 29 to 454 of the family's 1533-position model. The record is from RNAcentral.